GGGCAGCAUAGAUAUCUACAUGGACAAGAACACCAUACAACAUGAGUGCAAUAAGCUAUAAUGCUUUCUCCACAAAUAAAAUACUGUGACACAGGGAUUCAACAAAUCAGCAAAUCCAACACAAGAGGAAUACAUUUCAAGG
Mizuhopecten yessoensis (Yesso scallop) is the source of this 142-nucleotide long non-coding RNA. RefSeq lists it as uncharacterized. Lineage: Eukaryota; Metazoa; Mollusca; Bivalvia; Pectinida; Pectinidae. The transcript has 3 exons. The record is from RefSeq and is a predicted model, not a curated record.